UGGUGGGAUACUACCCUCGUUGUAUGAACACUCUAACCCUCGCCGGCAAUCACGGCGGGAGACAGUGUCAGGUGGGCAGUUUGACUGGGGCGGUCGCCUCCUAAAAGGGAACGGAGGCGCCCAAAGGUUCCUUCAGAAUGGUUGGAAAUCAUUCGCAGAGUGUAAAGGCAUAAAGGAGCUUGACUGCGAGACCUACAAGUCGAGCAGGGACGAAAGUCGGGCUUAGUGAUCCGGUG
Molecule: ribosomal RNA, 236 nt
Filed under: Ligilactobacillus salivarius
Lineage: Bacteria; Bacillati; Bacillota; Bacilli; Lactobacillales; Lactobacillaceae
Description: Lactobacillus salivarius partial 23S ribosomal RNA
Rfam family: Bacterial large subunit ribosomal RNA
Source: RNAcentral